GGGCCCGCACAAGCGGUGGAGCAUGUGGUUUAAUUCGAUGAUACGCGAGGAACCUUACCAAGGCUUAAAUGUAGGAGGACAGGCUGUGAAAACAGCCCUUCUUCGGACUUCCUACAAGGUGCUGCAUGGUUGUCGUCAGCUCGUGCCGUGAGGUGUCGGGUUAAGUCCCAUAACGAGCGCAACCCCUAUCUUUAGUUGCCAGCGGUUCGGCCGGGGACUCUAAAGAAACUGCCCGCGCAAGCGGUGAGGAAGGUGGGGAUGACGUCAAAUCAUCACGGCCCUUACGUCUUGGGCUACACACGUGCUACAAUGGUAGUGACAAUGGGCAGCCACCCGCGAGGGGGAGCAAAUCCACAAACACUAUCUCAGUUCGGAUCGGAGUCUGCAACUCGACUCCGUGAAGCUGGAAUC
RNAcentral lists this ribosomal RNA (411 nucleotides) under uncultured bacterium. RNAcentral describes it as "bacterial SSU rRNA". It matches the Rfam family "Bacterial small subunit ribosomal RNA", at positions 917 to 1333 of the family's 1533-position model. The record is from RNAcentral.